GAAAAGAAAUCAACCGAGAUUCCCUAAGUAGCGGCGAGCGAAAGGGGAUUAGCCCUUAAGUGGUUUUGGUGUUAGUAGAAGGCUCUGGAAAGUGCCGCGAUAGAGGGUGAUAGCCCCGUAUACGAAAACACCUUAAUCAUGAAAACGAGUAGGACGGGACACGUGUUAUCCUGUCUGAAUAUGGGGGGACCAUCCUCCAAGGCU
This 204-nucleotide ribosomal RNA is filed under the name Paraphysomonas bandaiensis. RNAcentral describes it as "partial Bacterial large subunit ribosomal RNA". It matches the Rfam family "Bacterial large subunit ribosomal RNA", at positions 216 to 467 of the family's 2925-position model. Lineage: Eukaryota; Chrysophyceae; Chromulinales; Paraphysomonadaceae. The record is from RNAcentral.